GCAUAUCAAUAAGCGGAGGAAAAGAAACUAACAAGGAUUCCCCUAGUAACUGCGAGUGAAGAGGGAAGAGCUCAAAUUUGAAAUCUGGCAGUGUUUUGCUGUCCGAGUUGUAAUCUAGAGAAGUGCUGCCCGUGCUGGACCAUGUACAAGUCUCCUGGAAUGGAGCGUCACAGAGGGUGAGAAUCCCGUCUUUGACAUGGACUGCCAGUGCAUUUGUGGUGUGCUCUCAAAGAGUCGAGUUGUUUGGGAAUGCAGCUCUAAAUGGGUGGUAAACUCCAUCUAAAGCUAAAUAUUGGCGAGAGACCGAUAGCGAACAAGUACCGUGAGGGAAAGAUGAAAAGAACUUUGGAAAGAGAGUUAAACAGUAUGUGAAAUUGUUGAAGGGAAACGCUUAAAGUCAGUCGUGUCGGCCAGGGAUCAACUCAGUAUUAUCUGCUGGGUGUACUUCCUGAUCUGAUGGGCCAACAUCAGUUUUGACUGCUGGAGAAGGAUAGAGGGAAUGUGGCACCUUCGGGUGUGUUAUAGCUCUCUGUCGGAUGCAGGUGGUUGGGACUGAGGAAAGCAGCAUGCCGCAAGGCCGGGUCGUUUCGACCACGUUCAUGCUGAGGAUGUUGGCAUAAUGGCUUUAAUCGACCCGUCUUGAAACACGGA
This 651-nucleotide ribosomal RNA is filed under the name uncultured Amanitaceae. Its description in RNAcentral is "eukaryotic LSU rRNA". It matches the Rfam family "Eukaryotic large subunit ribosomal RNA", at positions 38 to 665 of the family's 3401-position model. Lineage: Eukaryota; Fungi; Basidiomycota; Agaricomycetes; Agaricales; Amanitaceae. The record is from RNAcentral.